Molecule: long non-coding RNA, 1002 nt
Organism: Musa acuminata AAA Group (dessert banana)
Lineage: Eukaryota; Viridiplantae; Streptophyta; Magnoliopsida; Zingiberales; Musaceae
Exons: 4
Source: RefSeq, a predicted model, not a curated record
CUUUGUUCGACCGACGCGAACUCCACAAUUUGAUCGAGUUGGGUUCGGCUCCCCUCUCCCUCUCUCUCGCUCUCUCGGGACACAUACAUGCCGGAGCUACGGUUGCCUUUCCGUCCCAAAUCUGGGAAGCGACCGCUUCUGCUGUCGCUCGGAGGUGGCGGAUCACGAGAAGGGUCUGAAUUCUAACAGAAGCGAAGAUUGGGGGGUUUUGUCUCCUCUGAGUUCUUUAGAGCAUUUCGUGUUACACUGCGUAAUUCCUUCAAGUUGCAUCCGGACUUCGCAGAGCAGAUCUCCCACGUUCUACUGUGAUGAUCUCUUCAUGUCUCACCCGGAUUCCUCGGAAAAGGUACGAGGGCGUGGUCGCGUUUCUUGUGCUGACUGCGUGAUCCCGUCGAGUCCCGCCCCGCAAUCCGUUGAUAAGAGAAGGUACGAAGGUUUGGUCUCCUUCUGAGUUCUUGAACCGUUCCUUGUGUGUUUCACGGCGCGAUUCCUCCAAAUUCUCUCAUGUUCUCGUUGAGACUCCUCUGCAAAGUUUGCUUCUUUGGAUCAAUUGUGGGGCUUGGAAGAUGAUGUCCAGAGAUCCGCUAAAGCUUGGAUCUUUCUCUUUUGAAUGUAUGGGGUGCAAGAAAUCAUAAUUCCGGAAGCUAUGAGAUCUGCAGACACUUGGCAUCUAGGGUUCUUGGUAGCAAUUUGGUUCCGGUUCCCCUUUUUCGAUGAUGGAACAGGUGGUUUACCCAUCUUUCACUUCCAAAGAGACCAUGAAAAAGAAUGUAUCUUCUUCUUGCUUGUGACACAUGGAACCCUACUUGAUGUGGAAUUUGCCCCAAUUUGAGUCUGUAGACUAAAUUCUUUGUGGCAUUUGUUAAGCUUCUCAAUGGUAGUGAGUAUUUCCUGUUUUUUUUUGUUUUCAUUAUUAAGAAUGUAAUUGAAUAUAUGUUAUCUAAUCUACACAGAUAACUGUAGUAUGAUUGCCCAUUUGAAUUCACUACCUUACUACUACUA